CAAGCAUUCGAAAGCUAUAAACACCGAGGGUGGCUCAUUUGGGGCUAAGAUUAGAUGUAACGGGAUGAAUUUAUGGGCAGGAAAAAAUGCGCUUUAUGUGAAGACGCACCGCUCUGAACGGUGCCAAGUAUCUGAAGGUGGUAGUUAGCAGUCCUGGAAGUCCCCCUGGCCUACACAAAACUGCUCCAGGUAUAAAAAUAACGUGCAUCAGAGCCAGAAACUUGUCCUGCGUUAGGCUCGCACAGCUUGGAGGCACAGCGCCUGCUCUGCGUGGGCUUUGUCGAGCACGGCCAGGACACGAGGAGGGAGAGUUGGCUGCGGUCGGUGAUCCCUGCACCACUGGCAGCACAUCAGCAGCGGCACGGUGAUCUCAGCACACUGCAGUCUUCCUGGGGAUGAAACCCAAAUUAAGGCAGGUGAUAGUGGCUGAGUGUUUCUGCUAACCCACGGCAGCUGAUCAGCCUCUGGGAAAUGAAGCAAUGGAGGGAAACUGUUUUGGAGAGAUGAGAAGUUGUUUUGUGAGAGGAGCACCUUCACCUCCCACUCCAAUUGAUGCAGGCAAGGCAUUUUGAAGGAAAAAUUCCAGACUUGGAUCUGAUCCUAUCACCUGCUGAUGUCUCUCUCAACGCCAGUUGGUGUAAAGCGAGCCAAAGAAGAGUGUUUUUUCCUGUCUCUCUCUCUCUCUUUCCCUCUCCCACUCCCCCAGAUCUGUGUAAUCUAUAGAGGCUGGGGUAUUCAGUGCUGCUCAAAUCCUGUACUUCAGCUCAUUAAAAUGUCAGGCUCAGCACUGCAGACACUGCACUCAUUCCUAUUGACAGCAGUGGACAAUGGAGUCAGUGGGAGCUGGGGAAGUAGGAAAAAAAAAAAACACAACACGACUUUCUUUAUGGUGUGAUUACUGAUCAGUGUCUUUAAAUUACAUUAACCUCCUCUUGUGUCAUUCAGCAGAGUCUUCAGGCUGUCCUGUCCAGCAUAAACACGCAAACAUUUCAAUGAGUUUUCCCUUCUUGUGUAGCUCAGGAAAUAAAAGUGUGUUUGACACUCACCCUGCCCCGGUAAUGCUGGGUUUCGAAGUGUUCCUGUAGCUGGCUAUCUGCAGUGCAUGAGGAAAAGAGAUUUUUCUGCUGUUUCCAGCCUCUCUAAUGCAUCACACAAACCAUUUAAUAAAUACAGAGUAAAGUGAAAAAUAAAUCAUUCUGAGAGAAGCCCAAGGUGCUCUGAGAGCAAGGCACAAAGCUGUCACCCCGCUUCCCUGGGACAAAAACCCUUCCAUCAUUUAUUUUCAGGCUGCAGAAUUGAGUUAACAUCUACUACAAAAUCUGCUUAUCCACUUGCAACUGGGAUCCUUUUACCUCAGCGAACAUAUUUCUUAAUGUGAAAACAAGGCUGCUCGCAGAAAUAAUGCAGUACCCGAAAAUAAGCAUUGACCAGAGCUAAAACUUAAGUUUUGGAAAGCUGAGCGAUUGCUGUCUGUUGCCUUCCUCAUGUUUAAAGGGAUGCCCACACUUUCACAUUCAGGUGAACUCAUUCGUUUCCCAUAUAUGAGACUUCUGUAACCCCCAAUACGUCUAAUAAUGUUUCCAGUUUAACUCUGGAAAUUAUUUUAAUGAGGACUGGCUCUCUUCUAAUAAAUGGAUAUAAUGGGAGCUCAUUAAAUAUAAUCAAAAGGUUCUUCAUGCAAUAAAUCAUCAUAAUAUUUUAUCACGUAGGGAGGUGUAAAUGGCUCUCAGUAUCGCUAAACAUCCCUUACGCAAACCACUCUUCCAGGAUAUGACUGAGGAAUUAAUUUUUUUAUUUUUUUUUUCCCCCCGGGAUUUCCCCAAAGAAAAGCAAAGAGUUAAUGCUCCUGCUUCAGCUCUCAUUUUCUGCUGGGCUAGACAUUUCCUGGAGAAGCUGAAGGGAGCUGGCAGCUGCUGUGAUUCGGGAUGGGGCCGCUGCCCUGGGGGACAGUGCCCAGCUCGGGCUGUGCCGUGCUGCUCCCUGCCCCUCGCACAGGCACCAGAGCCAUUGAGAGUGCUCAGAUCAGUGCUGAGAGGGGCCAGCGCUGGUGGCACAAGGCAUUUAAUUACCACGUUAAGUAGUCACACGCGCUUGUCAAAGCAGCGCCAGCUGAGAAGGAAAGCCGUGUAACAAACAGUUUGAAGGAAACAACCGUGUUUGCAAACACUUUUUUUUCCCCUAGGUUGCUUGUUGCCUUUUGCAUGGGAAGGGGGGUCUGCUCUUUUGGAAGCAGAGCGUACUCUGAAGUCCCUAUUAAAGCAGCUGGCUCAACUGCAGCCGCUGAAGGCAGCGGUGAGAACUCGCCAGCUUCUUUUGAAAAGCAUCCUCUUGUUCUGGGCAUGUUUUAGACAAUGCAAGUUUAUUGCAGAUGCUGAUCUCUCCCCCAGAGGGUAGGGGCAAGCACUUCAGCACCGAUCAUCACACGUUUCUGGGACACUGAGAGGCUGCCAGACAAGUUAUCUCGCUCCACCUGGAAACAACUGAAAAGGAGAUUUCUUUCUCUUUGAUUCCUCUGUGUCUCAGCCAGAUGAACUUGGAAACUCAACCUGCCAAAUUCACGUGGUUUGAGAAGGUUCAAAUUAAACCUGUGGGACCUUGCUGUGCUUUCCAGAGCUUUCACCUCGUGUUCUUACUCCAGCAACCCUUCCAACCCCAGCAGUCUGAGGGCCUGAGGCAAAAAAAUCCUAAGGAAAACGCCUCAGUCCCAGCUGCCACCUGGCACGAAGCUCGCCCAGCACACAGACACACACACACGCAUCUUCCUGGCCUUUGGUUAGAAACACACGUGGUCCCACCGUGGCUUCCACUGACCUGCACACAUUUGUACCUGGGCUGUAAAAUGUUCACAAUUUAAAGAAAAACAAAAUAAAUAAAUAAAAUCCA
This is a long non-coding RNA of Anas platyrhynchos (mallard), 2883 nucleotides long. RefSeq lists it as uncharacterized. NCBI's taxonomy places the organism in Eukaryota, Metazoa, Chordata, Aves, Anseriformes, Anatidae. The record is from RefSeq and is a predicted model, not a curated record.